Long non-coding RNA from Helicoverpa zea (corn earworm), 313 nucleotides. RefSeq lists it as uncharacterized. The transcript is spliced from 2 exons. NCBI's taxonomy places the organism in Eukaryota, Metazoa, Arthropoda, Insecta, Lepidoptera, Noctuidae. The record is from RefSeq and is a predicted model, not a curated record.
GUAUUGCUAUUUUGAUAGUCCUAAAUGAGUUGAAAUUCCAGGAGCCUUGUCUGCAGAAAUUACUCUUUGUUUUGGCUUAAUACAAGCGUUGUGAUGUCACGCCUGUCUCGGCGAGGCGAGGUGGGCAAGCUCCUUGGAGGAGGGCCGGACCUUGCGGACCACCAGUUCUGUUUAGGCAGGUUGCGCUCAACGGUGGACGCCAUCAUGCGCGUGAGAGCUCUCACGACGAGGGCUGCUGUGUCCUGGGGUGGGGGCUAAGACAUUCGAAUUCGACAUCGAAGUCAUUGACAACCAAAGUUUCAGUUCUGCGUUU